This 304-nucleotide long non-coding RNA is filed under the name Lathyrus oleraceus (garden pea). Its description in RNAcentral is "Pisum sativum (pea) long non-coding RNA (PSAT_LNC030152)". Lineage: Eukaryota; Viridiplantae; Streptophyta; Magnoliopsida; Fabales; Fabaceae. The record is from RNAcentral.
UUUUAUUUUUUAUGGUAUUUUAUAUUUUUAUGGCAUUUUAUAUGAGUGUGAUGGAAGAAGAAAGGUUUAAUGGCUACUUGGGAUGACUCUAAAUCCUCACGAGAUGACUCUGAGGAAGAGCAAUUUAAUGUGAUGAAAAGAUCCAAUCAAAAUCAAAAUCAGAAUCUGAGUCAGACUCUAAAGAGGUAUUUCCUAAUCUAUCUCGCUCUAAAUUAGAAUCUUGUCUUUCUGAAAUUCUGGAGAAAUAUGAGAAGCUUUAGAACAAAUAGAAGGAUCUGAAACAAGUCCAAUAUAUGAAUAUAAA